Schistocerca gregaria is the source of this 996-nucleotide long non-coding RNA. RefSeq lists it as uncharacterized. The transcript has 3 exons. The record is from RefSeq and is a predicted model, not a curated record. Lineage: Eukaryota; Metazoa; Arthropoda; Insecta; Orthoptera; Acrididae.
AUUAUCGGUAUGUAACAUGCCAAAUAUUUCCUCUUGUUUCCCACGUGAUGUGGCUUUCAGGCAUAUUUAGGUCCAUGCAGUUGAAUACAAAUUUUAAUUAAAUAAUUGUGCAGUAGAACCCAGCACAAAACUAUUUGCGCCAAACGUUGAUUCUGUAGUGAUCUUGUAAUGGUUUUACUUCGUCGAAAAUAGAAAUAUUGGAGGACAUUUGCAUUAGUUUACUCUACAAAAUUAACGCGUUAACGAAGGAAAAGACAAAUUAUUAUGUUGUAUUGACAAAUCUGUUUGUGACUUACCGCAGUUAGUGUGCACAGUCAUUAAUGAGAAAUGUUACAGGUUACGGCGGCAUCAGAAAACGCUAAUCUAAAAUUCACACGCUGCAAGGACAGCAGGGGCGUAUGCGUGAUUAAAAAAAAGAGAUCUGCUGUAUUAAGAAACAAAAAUGCUUCACUGAUGUGAGAUCCAGUGAUUUGAAGUCUACUGGUCCUGAUUUUUGUAUAAUCACUUGUUUCACUACUGGAGAGGAAGGGUGCUUUAUAAUUCUACUGCUGUGUCAUCCAAACAAGAAACAGCCAGGGAAAAAGCACCACAGGCACAAAGAUGAGCGGGUGCCAGUGCCAUAGAGACUCACCACUUGUUUGAGUUCUGCCAUCGCCACAGGUGGCGCUGAGGAUGAAGAUUUCGACUUUGCCUUGGCCAAUUACUGCAGAGUACAAUUUGCCAAUGACCAUAUGACAACGGACAGAAGCCUACUUGGAAGAUAGAAGCACAGCUUUGGCCCACUCAGCUAUAGACCAUCGUCCGGGGCUGACUUAGACAGGAAAUGUCAUUUGUUGUAAAUUGCAUUUCCUAUGUACUGCAAAGUUUACCUACAGUUAUUUGCACUUAGCCAUUGAGAGUCAUUUUGUGUUGUAUUACAGGCAGUGUUGCAGACUUAAUUAUUCAACAAGUCACAAAGAUAAAUAAAGUUAUUAACUCAUUUGUUUCACUUUGUUA